GUGCCUUUUACACUUAUCUCAAGUUAAUUUGGGUUUCAUAAAGGUGCCCCGUUGAUAAACAGUUAGCCAGCCAGCCAGCCAGCCAGUCAGUCAGUCAGUUAGUCAGUUAGUCAGUUAGUCAGUCAGCCAGCCAGCCAGUCAAUCAGUCAGCCAGCCAGCCAGCCAGCCAGUCAGUCAGUCAGUCAGUCAGUUAGCCAGCCAGCCAGUCAGUCAGUCAGCCAGCCAGCCAGACAGUUAGUCAGCCAGCCAGCCAAUCAGCCAACCAGCCAGUCAGUCAGUCAGUUAGUCAGCCAGCCAGCCAGUCAGUCAGUUAGUCAGCCAGCCAGAUAGCCAGUCAGCCAGCCAGUCAGUCAGUCAAUUAGUUAGCCAGUCAAUCAGUCAGCCAGCCAGUCAACGAGUUAGUCAGCCAGCCAGCCAGUUAGUCAGCCAGCCAGCCAGUUACUCAGUCAGUCAGUCAGUCAGUCAGUCAGUUACUCAGUCAGACAAUCAGACAGUUAGUCAGUCAGUCAGACAGUUACUAAGUCAGUCAAUACAACCGUUGUAGUUAUAUCUUUAAAUUGUUCCCACAGUAUGAAUUGAACAGUAACCAAGGACCAAGUCCCAACACACGUACCAGGAAGUAGUAGUCACCAUAAGGAUACAACCACAUUAGUAAAGAGAACAGGGAAGAAUUGGCAUCACUGUAGGCCUACAUCAGUAUAAUGUCAUUUAUGAGAGAAGCGUACCACAUGCUCUAGCUACUGUGAUCUUUUUCAGUGAUGCCGUGAUCAGACACUCCUGCACACCAAAGACAAUUGGCUAUCUGGCCAGGGUUGGCCUCUUCUCAGGGGAGGUGGAGCCCUAUGGGACGACCCGAGACAAAGUUUGUCUGGAGGUUAUGGACCGCCUCAAGGCACAGCCUGAUGGGAAAUACGUGGUGGUCACGUGGGGACACCUUUAUUUGUUCACACCUGUCCGUGUUCAGAUAUAGCCCAGGGAACUCGUCCAUCCUGGCUGAUCAGAUCGCCUUGAACCUGGUGUGCCCAGAGCGGUGAGUGAAAGAGGAAUGGCUUUGUUGUUUCUGGUUAGAAAGUCAAGAAAAAUGAUUUUAGUCCAGGGUUUUGUUUAUGUUCAAUACAUCCAACUGGAUGAAUGCUUAUAAAUGUUACUUAUGCUUAUAAAUAUCUAAUUAUUCUGUUGUUUGUGUCUCACCUCUUCCCCCUACACCCCCUUACCAAUUUUAUCACAUCAGCACACACACUCAAUACCAUGCUUUUCACACAUUCACACACACAUCAAUAAACAUCACAUACACACACACACACACAUACGCAUACACUCUUCCCCCAGUCACCGAGGCGGAAGGAGGGCUCCUAUCCCUCAUUCCACCUUCAUUAACUAUCUCUCCUUCCACCUUCAUUAUCUAUCCCUCAUUCCACCUUCAUUAACUAUCCCUCCUUCUACCUUCAUGAACUAUUCCUCCUUCCACUCUCAUUAACUAUCCCUCCUUCCACCUUCAUUAACUAUGGCUCCUUCCACCUUCAUUAACUAUCCCUCCUUCCACCUUCAUUAACUAUCCCUCCUUCCACCUUCAUUAACUAUCCCUCCUUCCACCUUCAUUAACUAUGGCUCCUUCCACUCUCAUUAACUAUCCCUCCUUCCACCUUCAUUAACUAUCCCUCCUUCCACCUUCAUUAACUAUGGCUCCUUCCACUCUCAUUAACUAUCCUGCCGUCCACCUUCAGUAACUCUCUUCUGACAAUCUAAGAUGAUCAAGCA
Long non-coding RNA from Oncorhynchus kisutch (coho salmon), 1758 nucleotides. The record is from Ensembl. Lineage: Eukaryota; Metazoa; Chordata; Actinopteri; Salmoniformes; Salmonidae.